Non-coding RNA from Camellia sinensis, 2880 nucleotides. The record is from RefSeq and is a predicted model, not a curated record. Lineage: Eukaryota; Viridiplantae; Streptophyta; Magnoliopsida; Ericales; Theaceae.
UUUAUUUAAAAAAAAAAAAAAUUCUGAAAAUGAAAGAGCUGUCUCCCUACUUGUGUUAAGUUUGCAUGGUGAAUGGGGACUUGUUAACCAUUUUGCAUUUAUUUUACAUUUUAAUUAAAAAGCUAGAUUCAUUUUUAACUUAAUUCCCAAUGAGGAUGAAUCGAAUUUUUGCUCAAUUAAGUAACUUGUUUCUUUGCUCUGUUUUUCAACUGUUCUCUUUCUCUCCUCCAUCUCUUCCUCUUUUGCUGUGGUGGCGAAGAUUCAUUUUAAUGUUUGUUUUUUUGUUUUUUUUUAAUGGGCUGUAAUAUAAUUGUUAUGGUUUGCUAAUGUUUGUUAAUAGUCUGUAUAAACUUUCAUCUUGUAAUUAUUUAAAUGUUUGUUUGUUAAUGUUUUUUUUUUUUCCCAUCAUAACUGUUAUAUACAUGAUAAAUAUAUUUUAUAGUGUUGUUUUAGGUGAAAUGGAUACAUCUAGCCAUAAUUCAACAGCACACUUUAAUACCCUAUCAUCAACACUGAAGGGCGAGCUCCCGAUGGGAAGAGAACUUUAACAUGUUUGUAUUGUGGGAAAACUAUUAAAGGUGGAGGGAUUAAUAGAAUAAAGCAACAUCUUAUAGGAAAGUCUGGUGAGGUUGGGCCAUGUAAGAAAGUUCCAGGUGAUGUUAUGUAUUGAAUGGAAGAGGCUUUGAAAUCAAUUAUUGAGAAAAAAAAAAGAAGCAAAGUGAGGAAUCUAAUCCCUUUGGUCGGGUUGUUUUUGAAUUUGAGGAUGAUGCUGAAAUUGAAGAAAUAAUUCCACAUAGCAAUAAGGACAUCUUAAUUAAUGAAUGUGGUGAUAGUAGGAAUAAGAGUAAAGCAACAAUGACACAAAAAGGAAAAGGAAAGGAACCUGCAAAAAUUGAUAAUUUUUUUGCACCAAAGACCACUCGGGGCUCUCAACCAUCAAAAGUGUCCUUGCAACUAAAGAAGUUGUACAUAGGGCACAUAUGAUUGUGGGAAAAUUUUUGUAUGAUACAUGUGUUCCAAUGAAUGUUAUCAAUUCCAUAUACUUUUAGCCCAUGUUUGAUGCUGCAAUUGCCAUUGGUCUAGGAUAUAAAGUUCCUAUCUACCAUGAAGUUCGAGUUCCUUUAUUGAAUGACUCAAAGAAAGAGCUUCAAUUGUUUAUUGACUCUACAAAGAGUACUUGGGUUGAUACUGGGUGUACAAUUAUGGGUGAUGGUUGGACUGAUGGUAGACAUAUAACCCUCAUUAAUUUUCUUGUUGCCCUAGAGGAAUCAAUUUUGUUAAAUCUAUUGAUCCCUCCGAUGUUGUAAAAGAUGCUCAUUUUCUUUUUAAAUUGUUUGAAGAAAUUAUUGAGUGGGUGGGAGUGAGCAAUAUUGUGCACAUGGUGGCAAAUAAUGGGGCAAAUUAUGUUGCUGCUAGAAGACUUGUUAGUCAAACGUACAAGAAUAUAAUUGGUCUCCUUAUGCAACACAUUGUUUGAACUUAGUGUUAAGUGAUAUUUCCAAGUUGAAACAUGUGAAAGAGCUUGCCUUUAGAGCAUCAACUGUGACAAGAUUUAUUUAUAAUCGCCCACGGUUGAUAGCUUUGUUGAGCAAAAGGAAGGGAUGAACUGAAAUAGUGCGCCCAGGAACAACCCGUUUUGCCACUACUUUCAUUGCAUUGCAUAGUAUUAAAAAACAUAUGCAUGAUUUGAAAGUUUUAGUGACAAGUAAGGAUUUUGUGGAUUCAAGGCAUGCAAAAGAUAAUAAAGAAAAAGAAGUUGUUGCUAUCAUUUUAGAUAGUAAGUUUCUAAAUGAUUACUUGAUCAAUGUUAAGAUUGUUGAGCCAUUCAUGCGAUUGUUGCGUAUUGUUGAUGGAAAUAAAAAGCCUUCAAUGGGAUAUGUAUAUGAGGGCAUGUAUAGGGCAAGAAUAGCAAUUAAGAAUGUUUUCAUGAAGAAAAAAAAGAUUGUACAAGCCUUAUACAAGUACUGUCAAAGAGCGUUGGGAUAGGACAUUACGCAAAAAUAUCCAUGCUGCAACUUAUUGGCUGAAUCCAGCUUUUCACUAUGAUCAAGCAUUAUUUUGCAAAAAACCAAAGGUUAUGGCAAGUGUGCUUGAUGUGAUUGAAACAAAAGCUACAUGUAGCAAGACAAAACUCUUGGAUGAAGCUAGAUUGUUUCAAGAUCAAUUAGAAAGUUUUGGAAGAGAGUUUGCUACUAUUACAUCCAAGACAAAACACCAGAUGAAUGGUGUGGAGGUUAUUCGGCCACAGUGCUCCGAAUUUGCUAAAGUUGGCUAUUCGAAUUCUUAGCCAAACUAGUAGCUCUUCUGGAUGUGAAAUGAAUUGGAGUGUUUUUGAAUGUAAACAUACAAAGAAGAGGAAUAGAUUGGAACAUUAAAGGCUUAAUGAUCUUGUAUACAUCCAUUAUAAUUUGCGCCUGAAGAAUAGGCAUUUCAACAAAAUGAAUAACUAUGAUCUGGUUGACAUUGAAAGUAUUGACAAAACCGAGUUUUGGAUUGUGGAAGAUGAAGAAGAGCCUCAUCUUCUUGAUUUGGAUGAGUUGAAACAAAUGCUUUAUGAAGAAGGUUUGGCUCCACAAAAUAAGAGGCAAUGUCAUGGUUUACGUGAUGAAGAUGACAAGGAUAAUGUGGUCUUAGAGGUUGGAGAUGAUAUUGACCUUGGAUCAUUUGGUGAUGUCAACGUGGAUGAUAGAUCUAAUGCUUAAAGUGGUGAAAUUGGCAUAAACAACAAUGAAAAUGAGGAUGACGAUGCUUGGCUAAUGGAGGGCUUCCCAAGGAAUUAGGCAAAAAGCAAUGUUUUUGAUGUGUUUAUAGUGGAUCGGUUUUGAACUUUUGUUAUAUAUUUAUUUAUCUACUUUCGUUUAGGAAUGAUGGAUGCUUAUU